UACGGGAGGCAGCGGUGGGGAAUAUUGCACAAUGGGCGCAAGCCUGAUGCAGCCAUGCCGCGUGUAUGAAGAAGGCCUUCGGGUUGUAAAGUACUUUCAGUCGUGAGGAAGGUGUUAAGGUUAAUAACCUUAGCAAUUGACGUUAGCGACAGAAGAAGCACCGGCUAACUCCGUGCCAGCAGCCGCGGUAAUACGGAGGGUGCGAGCGUUAAUCGGAAUUACUGGGCGUAAAGGGCACGCAGGCGGUUAAUAAGUUGGAUGUGAAAUCCCCGGGCUUAACCUGGGAAUGGCAUUCAAGACUGGUUAGCUAGAGUCUUGUAGAGGGGGUAGAAUUCCAUGUGUAGCGGUGAAAUGCGUAGAGAUGUGGAGGAAUACCGGUGGCGAAGGCGGCCCCUGGACAAAGACUGACGCUCAUGUGCGAAAGCGUGGGGAGCAAACAGGGAUUAGAUACC
RNAcentral lists this ribosomal RNA (452 nucleotides) under uncultured bacterium. Its description in RNAcentral is "bacterial SSU rRNA". It matches the Rfam family "Bacterial small subunit ribosomal RNA", at positions 340 to 786 of the family's 1533-position model. The record is from RNAcentral.